Long non-coding RNA from Silurus meridionalis, 568 nucleotides. RefSeq lists it as uncharacterized. The record is from RefSeq and is a predicted model, not a curated record. Lineage: Eukaryota; Metazoa; Chordata; Actinopteri; Siluriformes; Siluridae. The transcript has 3 exons.
UACUUCUUCAAAGGUCCGUAAUCAUCACGAGUGUGUGAGUUGUGUAAGUUGUGUAAACAGUGUGUGCUCGGGUGCCAGGAGGUUUGAUGAGCACUAGAAGCGAGUGGUGUGACAGCGGGACAGAGGUAAGUCAGAUCGUCUCAUGUAUGUUUGAUGUUGUUGAAUAUUUCAUGGGCGGAGCUGCACUGAGCUGCACUGAGCUGCACUGAGAUGAAGAUCGUGUUGCUCCAUUUGUGUCAGAGUUUUUGGGAACAGCAUUGACGAGUGUGUGACAAACGAGCAGUUUGAGCCGAGCGGUGGAUCUGCUGCAACGUAACCAGAGUCUCCGUGUAACUCACACACACCUCUCAGGGAUGAAUGGAGGUGUGACAGUUGACCUCCGACCCCUGGAGCAGUCUAUUAGCGCGCUCCCUAAUGGCCUGUCAACACUAAUGUUAGUUUAUAGCAAUUUAAUUAUGCUCAGGUUUCCUGCAGAGACACUUCCCUUUAAAUAAUUCAGACUCAGCGACAAUAAAUCUGUCGGCCAAAAGAAAAGAACAGAACAAAAAAGACGAGAAGCGAAAAGAUU